CCCUUAGAUGUUCUGGGCCGCACGCGCGCUACACUGAUGCAUUCAACAAGCCUAGCCUUGACCGAGAGGUCCGGGUAAUCUUUGAAACUGCAUCGUGAUGGGGCUAGAUUAUUGCAAUUAUUAAUCUUCAACGAGGAAUGCCUAGUAAGCGUGAUUCAUCAAAUCGCGUUGAUUACGUCCCUGCCCUUUGUACACACCGCCCGUCGCUCCUACCGAUUGAAUGUGUUGGUGAGGAGCUCGGAUUGGCAGCAGUUGGUGGUUCGCCAUCGGCUAUUGCUGAGAAGUCCUCCAAACCGCCCCAUUUAGAGGAAGGAGAAGUCGUAACA
This 326-nucleotide ribosomal RNA is filed under the name uncultured eukaryote. RNAcentral describes it as "partial 18S ribosomal RNA". It matches the Rfam family "Eukaryotic small subunit ribosomal RNA", at positions 1470 to 1796 of the family's 1831-position model. The record is from RNAcentral.